ACACACAUCACAACUUAAUCAGUUAUUGUAAAAAAUAUAAUAAUUCGGUGGGGCUAAUAAUUCUGACUUCAACUGUGCAUGUAUACAUAUAUAUAUAUAUAUAUAUAUAGUUAAUAACUUUGACAUGGUGUCUUUGUUAUUGCAUCUUUCUACAAUAUGUUUAUAUUGUGUGUGUGUAUAUACUUUCUCUCUCUCUUCUCUAUUAUAUGUAUAUUUGAUAUUUUUGGUAUUUAUGUUAUGGAGUGUUCAGUGUAAAACCAGAGGUCUUUUAUUUUGAAUUAAUUACCAUUACGGAUAUAAACAGACACAGAAGAUCGCACAUGAUCACGGCGUCUCAGCUGUGCGGUCUGCUACGGACUAAAGGUUUAGCUUCUGGUUUGAUUGGAGAACAAGCUCUUACGGUGUUUGCCGUACGGUGCAAGGUGUACGGUGUUUGGCCUAUGGUAUAAGGUGUUUGAUGUUGACGACGGCGUCAGUGAAGUGAAUGCUGCACUGAAAUAAAUCAUGGGAAAACAC
Molecule: non-coding RNA, 516 nt
Organism: Danio rerio (zebrafish)
Lineage: Eukaryota; Metazoa; Chordata; Actinopteri; Cypriniformes; Danionidae
Source: RefSeq, a predicted model, not a curated record